Molecule: ribosomal RNA, 524 nt
Filed under: uncultured organism
Description: bacterial SSU rRNA
Rfam family: Bacterial small subunit ribosomal RNA
Source: RNAcentral
GAAUAGCCCGAAGAAAUUCGGAUUAAUGCCCCAUAUGCUCGCACAAUCGCAUGAUUGAGCGAGGAAAGCUCCGGCGGUAAAAGAUGGGCAUGCGUCCUAUUAGCUUGUUGGUGAGGUAAUGGCUCACCAAGGCUACGAUAGGUAGGGGACCUGAGAGGGUGAACCCCCACACUGGUACUGAGACACGGACCACACUCCUACGGGAGGCAGCAGUGAGGAAUAUUGGGCAAUGGAGGAAACUCUGACCCAGCCAUGCCGCGUGCAGGAAGACGGCCCUCUGGGUUGUAAACUGCUUUUAUAUGGGAAUAAACCCUUCCACGUGUGGAAGGCUGAAGGUACCAUACUUAAUUAGAUGAUACGCGAGGAACGUUACCAGGGUUUAAAUGGGAAUUGACAGAUGCCGAAAGGUGUCGUUCUUCGGACAAUUUUCAAGGUGAUGCAUGGUUGUCGUCAGCUCGUGCCGUGAGGUGUUGGGUUAAGUCCCGCAACGAGCGCAACCCGUACUGUUAGUUUCCAGCGGAUAA